GCGAAAACUUUACAAUGCUGGCAACAGCGAUAAGGGAACCUCGAGUGCCAGGUUACAAAUCUGGCUGUCGAGAUGCCUAAAAAGCAUUUCAUAGCAAGGGCCGGGCAAGACCGGUGCCAGCCGCCGCGGUAACACCGGCGGCUCGAGUGGUAACCGUUAUUAUUGGGUCUAAAGGGUCUGUAGCCGGCCGGAUAAGUCUCUUGAGAAAUCUGGCAGCUUAACUGUCAGGCUUUCAGGAGAUACUGUCUGGCUCGAGGCCGGGAGAGGUGAGAGGUACUUCAGGGGUAGGGGUGAAAUCUUGUAAUCCUUGAAGGACCACCAGUGGCGAAGGCGGCUCUCUGGCCUAGGACUGACGCUGAAGCGCGAAAGCGUGGGGAGCGAACA
This 384-nucleotide ribosomal RNA is filed under the name uncultured prokaryote. RNAcentral's name for it is "bacterial SSU rRNA". It matches the Rfam family "Archaeal small subunit ribosomal RNA", at positions 341 to 725 of the family's 1478-position model. The record is from RNAcentral.